Molecule: ribosomal RNA, 367 nt
Filed under: uncultured organism
Description: bacterial SSU rRNA
Rfam family: Bacterial small subunit ribosomal RNA
Source: RNAcentral
CGGAGGAUCCAAGCGUUAUCCGGAAUCAUUGGGUUUAAAGGGUCCGUAGGCGGUUUAGUAAGUCAGUGGUGAAAGCCCAUCGCUCAACGGUGGAACGGCCAUUGAUACUGCUAAACUUGAAUUAUUAGGAAGUAACUAGAAUAUGUAGUGUAGCGGUGAAAUGCUUAGAGAUUACAUGGAAUACCAAUUGCGAAGGCAGGUUACUACUAAUGGAUUGACGCUGAUGGACGAAAGCGUGGGUAGCGAACAGGAUUAGAUACCCUGGUAGUCCACGCCGUAAACGAUGGAUACUAGCUGUUGGGGGCAACUUCAGUGGCUAAGCGAAAGUGAUAAGUAUACCCACCUGGGGAGUACGUUCGCAAGAAUG